This 647-nucleotide ribosomal RNA is filed under the name Bacillus sp. EB16(2012). RNAcentral describes it as "bacterial SSU rRNA". It matches the Rfam family "Bacterial small subunit ribosomal RNA", at positions 73 to 707 of the family's 1533-position model. Lineage: Bacteria; Bacillati; Bacillota; Bacilli; Caryophanales; Bacillaceae. The record is from RNAcentral.
CGAAAGCUUGCUUCUAUGACGUUAGCGGCGGACGGGUGAGUAACACGUGGGCAACCUGCCUGUAAGACUGGGAUAACUUCGGGAAACCGAAGCUAAUACCGGAUAGGAUCUUCUCCUUCAUGGGAGAUGAUUGAAAGAUGGUUUCGGCUAUCACUUACAGAUGGGCCCGCGGUGCAUUAGCUAGUUGGUGAGGUAACGGCUCACCAAGGCAACGAUGCAUAGCCGACCUGAGAGGGUGAUCGGCCACACUGGGACUGAGACACGGCCCAGACUCCUACGGGAGGCAGCAGUAGGGAAUCUUCCGCAAUGGACGAAAGUCUGACGGAGCAACGCCGCGUGAGUGAUGAAGGCUUUCGGGUCGUAAAACUCUGUUGUUAGGGAAGAACAAGUACGAGAGUAACUGCUCGUACCUUGACGGUACCUAACCAGAAAGCCACGGCUAACUACGUGCCAGCAGCCGCGGUAAUACGUAGGUGGCAAGCGUUAUCCGGAAUUAUUGGGCGUAAAGCGCGCGCAGGCGGUUUCUUAAGUCUGAUGUGAAAGCCCACGGCUCAACCGUGGAGGGUCAUUGGAAACUGGGGAACUUGAGUGCAGAAGAGAAAAGCGGAAUUCGUGUAGCGGUGAAAUGCGUAGAGAUGUGGAGGAAC